AAAUUGAAGAGUUUGAUCAUGGCUCAGAUUGAACGCUGGCGGCAGGCCUAACACAUGCAAGUCGAACGGUAACAGGAAGCAGCUUGCUGUUUUGCUGACGAGUGGCGGACGGGUGAGUAAUGUCUGGGAAACUGCCUGAUGGAGGGGGAUAACUACUGGAAACGGUAGCUAAUACCGCAUAACGUCGCAAGACCAAAGAGGGGGACCUUAGGGCCUCUUGCCAUCGGAUGUGCCCAGAUGGGAUUAGCUAGUAGGUGGGGUAACGGCUCACCUAGGCGACGAUCCCUAGCUGGUCUGAGAGGAUGACCAGCCACACUGGAACUGAGACACGGUCCAGACUCCUACGGGAGGCAGCAGUGGGGAAUAUUGCACAAUGGGCGCAAGCCUGAUGCAGCCAUGCCGCGUGUAUGAAGAAGGCCUUCGGGUUGUAAAGUACUUUCAGCGGGGAGGAAGGGAGUAAAGUUAAUACCUUUGCUCAUUGACGUUACCCGCAGAAGAAGCACCGGCUAACUCCGUGCCAGCAGCCGCGGUAAUACGGAGGGUGCAAGCGUUAAUCGGAAUUACUGGGCGUAAAGCGCACGCAGGCGGUUUGUUAAGUCAGAUGUGAAAUCCCCGGGCUCAACCUGGGAACUGCAUCUGAUACUGGCAAGCUUGAGUCUCGUAGAGGGGGGUAGAAUUCCAGGUGUAGCGGUGAAAUGCGUAGAGAUCUGGAGGAAUACCGGUGGCGAAGGCGGCCCCCUGGACGAAGACUGACGCUCAGGUGCGAAAGCGUGGGGAGCAAACAGGAUUAGAUACCCUGGUAGUCCACGCCGUAAACGAUGUCGACUUGGAGGUUGUGCCCUUGAGGCGUGGCUUCCGGAGCUAACGCGUUAAGUCGACCGCCUGGGGAGUACGGCCGCAAGGUUAAAACUCAAAUGAAUUGACGGGGGCCCGCACAAGCGGUGGAGCAUGUGGUUUAAUUCGAUGCAACGCGAAGAACCUUACCUGGUCUUGACAUCCACGGAAGUUUUCAGAGAUGAGAAUGUGCCUUCGGGAACCGUGAGACAGGUGCUGCAUGGCUGUCGUCAGCUCGUGUUGUGAAAUGUUGGGUUAAGUCCCGCAACGAGCGCAACCCUUAUCCUUUGUUGCCAGCGGUCCGGCCGGGAACUCAAAGGAGACUGCCAGUGAUAAACUGGAGGAAGGUGGGGAUGACGUCAAGUCAUCAUGGCCCUUACGACCAGGGCUACACACGUGCUACAAUGGCGCAUACAAAGAGAAGCGACCUCGCGAGAGCAAGCGGACCUCAUAAAGUGCGUCGUAGUCCGGAUUGGAGUCUGCAACUCGACUCCAUGAAGUCGGAAUCGCUAGUAAUCGUGGAUCAGAAUGCCACGGUGAAUACGUUCCCGGGCCUUGUACACACCGCCCGUCACACCAUGGGAGUGGGUUGCAAAAGAAGUAGGUAGCUUAACCUUCGGGAGGGCGCUUACCACUUUGUGAUUCAUGACUGGGGUGAAGUCGUAACAAGGUAACCGUAGGGGAACCUGCGGUUGGAUCACCUCCUUA
RNAcentral lists this ribosomal RNA (1542 nucleotides) under Escherichia coli. Its description in RNAcentral is "bacterial SSU rRNA". It matches the Rfam family "Bacterial small subunit ribosomal RNA". Lineage: Bacteria; Pseudomonadati; Pseudomonadota; Gammaproteobacteria; Enterobacterales; Enterobacteriaceae. The record is from RNAcentral. RNAcentral also lists the same sequence under 7 other names.